GGGCACAUGGUGUAGUUGGUUAUCACGCUCGCUUAGCAUUCUGUGGCCUGCGAGAGGUGUUGGGUUCAAUUCCCAAUGUGUCCA
This 84-nucleotide transfer RNA is filed under the name Crucibulum laeve. It matches the Rfam family "tRNA". From Rfam's summary of the family: Transfer RNA (tRNA) molecules are approximately 80 nucleotides in length. The record is from Rfam by way of RNAcentral. Lineage: Eukaryota; Fungi; Basidiomycota; Agaricomycetes; Agaricales; Nidulariaceae.